This 416-nucleotide long non-coding RNA is filed under the name Scleropages formosus (Asian bonytongue). RNAcentral's name for it is "lncRNA (ENSSFOG00015027294.1)". Lineage: Eukaryota; Metazoa; Chordata; Actinopteri; Osteoglossiformes; Osteoglossidae. The record is from RNAcentral.
AUGUUUUUGCAGACCUUCAGGGUCCUGUGGUGUGACUGCUGCGCAGGUCUCAGUGGACCACCAGGGGAGACGGACCCUGAAGAUGCGAUCAACCCCGAGAGGUAACCAGGAGAACCUAGACAGAAGCAUCCCAAAGGAGACACAAGUAUGCCAGCGGUAUCCCAGAGCAGAGCGGGGACAGCAGAGUCUUCGCCAAGUCGAAAAACUGGCCCACAAGCAGCAAAGUGAACUUCUGCCAGAAACUCUCCGGUACAGCUCGACACCUACAUUAAUGCGCUUCUGUUUACAUACAUGCAAAAGAAAACCGAACAAACUGCUGGCAACGGAGAGCACGUGGAUGGAGUAAAAUGUGUUGUUAUUAAGUAUUCCUAGAAAGCAAGGGUUCAAAUAAAUAAGGUUCUCCGCAUUUCUUGUCA